UCCGUAGGCUUAUUUGAUUGGUUUCUUCUUCCUGCACUAGAACAAAUAUAUACCAGUUGCGACCUCCCGUUUUAGCCGCCUGAGCCAUCUCCAACCGGCCAGCUAAGACCCUUUACCCUACAACUGGACCUCAACACAGUCGCGACUACAGGUCAUCUAGGACUGAUGUUUGGUCGGAGGAAGUUCCUAUCUUUCCCUUUGGUGAUUGGAGCUGUCGUGAUUGGAGUUGUGUCUGGUAAGGCAAUAUUUGGACCCCCACUUGAUGAAUAUUGGCAAAAGAAGCUCGAGGAAGAAACGGCAAGAAAGAACAAUGACACCAGCUCAAACUGAGUAACCAUUUUUUGCUAAAUGUGUUUCGUCAAAUAAGACAGUGAAGAAUUCUGAUAGGGAUUCACUUUUUUUUCUCCGUUUAUGAUUAGGAGCUUCUUUACUCUACUUGCCAAGUUAUUCUUUAAAAAAGUAUUGGUUGCUACGUUUCCAUUUGUCGCUGCACACAAAUAGAAGCUUUAGCGAUGAAUAUUGUAUCCUAAAAUUAAGAUAUAAAACUCAUUGCACUUUUAUUGGUGACAUAGUGUAAUUGGUAUUU
Molecule: long non-coding RNA, 586 nt
Organism: Impatiens glandulifera
Lineage: Eukaryota; Viridiplantae; Streptophyta; Magnoliopsida; Ericales; Balsaminaceae
Exons: 3
Source: RefSeq, a predicted model, not a curated record